AACGCGAAGAACCUUACCAAGGCUGAACUACGCGGGAAAAGCCGUAGAAAUACGGUGUCCUUCGGGGCCCGCGAUAGGUGGUGCAUGGCUGUCGUCAGCUCGUGUCGUGAGAUGUUGGGUUAAGUCCCGCAACGAGCGCAACCCUUAUCCCAUGUUGCCAGCGAGUUAUGUCGGGGACUCGUGGGAGACUGCCGGUGCCAAACCGGAGGAAGGUGGGGAUGACGUCAAGUCAGCAUGCCCCUUACGUCUUGGGCUGCACACAUGCUACAAUGGCCGGUACAAAGGGCUGCAAACCCGCGAGGGUGAGCCAAUCCCAUAAAGCCGGUCUCAGUUCGGAUCGCAGUCUGCAACUCGACUGCGUGAAGUCGGAGUCGCUAGUAAUCGCAGAUCAGCAACGCUGCGGUGAAUACGUUCCCGGGCCUUGUACACACCGUAGUAC
Molecule: ribosomal RNA, 439 nt
Filed under: uncultured bacterium
Lineage: Bacteria
Description: bacterial SSU rRNA
Rfam family: Bacterial small subunit ribosomal RNA
Source: RNAcentral